AAGAUUAAUACCGCAUAUUAUGGUUUUUCUGCAUGGGAAAGUCAUGAAAGGAGCAAUCCGCUGUAAGAUGGGCCCGCGGCGCAUUAGCUAGUUGGUGAGGUAAGGGCUCACCAAGGCGACGAUGCGUAGCCGACCUGAGAGGGUGAUCGGCCACAUUGGGACUGAGACACGGCCCAGACUCCUACGGGAGGCAGCAGUGGGGAAUAUUGCACAAUGGGGGAAACCCUGAUGCAGCAACGCCGCGUGAGUGAUGAGGGCCUUCGGGUUGUAAAGCUCUGUCUUCAGGGACGAUAAUGACGGUACCUGAGGAGGAAGCCACGGCUAACUACGUGCCAGCAGCCGCGGUAAUACGUAGGUGGCGAGCGUUAUCCGGAUUUACUGGGCGUAAAGGGAGCGUAGGCGGAUGAUUAAGUGGGAUGUGAAAUACCCGGGCUCAACUUGGGUGCUGCAUUCCAAACUGGUUAUCUAGAGUGCAGAAGAGGAGAGUGGAACUCCAUGUGUAGCGGUGAAAUGCGUAGA
RNAcentral lists this ribosomal RNA (519 nucleotides) under uncultured bacterium. RNAcentral's name for it is "bacterial SSU rRNA". It matches the Rfam family "Bacterial small subunit ribosomal RNA", at positions 159 to 694 of the family's 1533-position model. The record is from RNAcentral.